CUCUCUUUCUAUCUAUCCCUCCUUCUCUCUAUCUCUCUCCUCCGUAGAAACUUGAAAAUCUGAAGUUUCAUGAAAAAAACCAUGGAUUUCUACUAAAUCAACAAGCAAAUUUCGUUUUUGGUGAAGAUCAAGUUGCUCCUGUUGGUAAGUUUCUAAACUCGUUUUUAUACUAGAUACCUACUAGAAUUUUCUACAUAUCUUUUUAUACAGAGCUCUAAUUUAAGUGAUACAUGACUUUCUGGAAAGGUAUUUCAUAAAUCUAUAACUUUUAUGAAGGAAACAAAAUCUAUUUUUGUUGGUAUUUACCUGAAAAAGGAUCAGAACGUACAGGGCAGGUGCUGUCCAGAUUUCCAGUUUUAGAAAUACUCCAUGUACUACUGUUAGUAAUUUUAGCAUAACUUUUUGUUCAAAAUUGAUAUGGAGGUUAUUCAAGAUGUUCUGAAAUGGUAAGACAUAGAUCUACAACUUUUGUGAAGACCAGAAAGUCUAGUUUGUCCGUGUAGAUCUUCAAAAGCUGAGUCACAUUCGGAACAGUGAUACUGUCCAGAAUUUCUGUUUCAAACGUUUUUGGGUAAUUUUCACCAAUAUCAUAUUUAGUUUGACUUGCUAAAUCACUGAACUUAUUUAGAUACUUGAUUAUGUAUUUAAGGUAUAUAAACCCUUGAAAAAAAAUCAAAGGGGAAGUGUUUGAGGAAGUGGACAGAUUUGGUUUGUUUACAGCGUAGACGAUUUGAACGUCCCCAAGUUGUGAUUGAACUGUUUCGUGGUAAAACACCAAGGAAAUGUUUGGGAUGAAAUCUGAAGAUGGCCAGGGUGAAGUAGUCUUUUUGGGAGAAUUUAUGGAGAUCACAUUUGCAUAUGCACCUUGGUUUGCAUAGUUUUGGGACAUGUACAUGAUAUACAGGAUAUACAUGAUAUAUACAUACACAUAUAUAUAUAUAUGUCACACUUAUGUUAUUUGGAGGCUUGUUGGAUUUUAAAGACCAAAAUCUUGUAACUUGAAUUUGUAACCUAGGUUAUUGUAUUAGGGUGUUUUAAUAACUCAAAUCUUGUAAUAUGCUGAAUUUACACUUUGUCUUGUAAAUAUGUAGAAAAGGAGAAAACUAGUUUCUUUUUUU
Nicotiana tabacum (common tobacco) is the source of this 1118-nucleotide non-coding RNA. The record is from RefSeq and is a predicted model, not a curated record. NCBI's taxonomy places the organism in Eukaryota, Viridiplantae, Streptophyta, Magnoliopsida, Solanales, Solanaceae.